CUCCGAUGUCACACGUCGCACAGCAGCAAGAGCUCAUGCGAGUUUACCGAGAAGAGCUGCAACUGCAGCAGCGACUCAAGGAGCAGUGUCGCCUGCUGCAGUGCCUCGCGGAAGCUGCAGCUGGUAUGUUCUCGUGGUGGCGUGAAGGCGCAGCCGCCGCCGCCGCGGCGACGACAGACAACGCUCUCCUGGUUGCCGGUCGCUCGCCCAUCUCAGAAGGGUCGGCGGGCUCUGAUGCCAACACAGGCGAGUUUGCCCUGCCAUCGGCGUCAUCACUGUUGAAGCUGCACUCGGGCAUGGUCUUCUACUCACUGGGGGAGCUGCUGCAGCUGUGGGCAGCCACCACAGCCCCGUCAGACUUUGGCAGCAACAGCGAGAAGGGAACUGAUGAGAGCGCCAGUGCAGCCGAGACGAUGAGACAGGGCGGGCGCGACGCCUCCCGGCGUGAGGUGCACGCCUCCUCGUACGACCCCCGUAGGGUUAACGAGUGCUCUGAUCAGCACCCUCCACCGUGGUCCUUCCCAACGAGCAUUGCGGUGCCAGUGCCGCGGAUCAUCGGCGAGGCGGGACACGUUCCGCACACACCUCCAACUUCUCCACCUCCAUUGCAGCUCCCUACCCCUGCGCAACUCAUACGGUACCGCGUGCUGGACGCGGCGUGCCCACUGCCGGUCACCCACCGGCUCCUCCUCGGCUCCGUUGACGCGGACAACUUCAGUCUCCUCCUGCUCUGGCUCAUGAGGCUGACCAAGGAGUGUGCGGAGGCAAUGUUGCUAUGGAGACCCGACAGACACAUGCGCGAAGCGCACAUGCGGUCGGCACGAAUCGAAGGACACCGUUCCAGCAGCGCCGGCGCCGACGACAACCGACGGCCGCUCAGAGCGGUGCCAACGCCGGCAGUGAUCGAAAAUGAAGCGGCGGAGACGAUCGGGACGAAGAGGUCACGGCCGAAGGAUGGGGGCAGUCUACGGUGUAGCGAUGGCAGCGUCGUCAGUGAGUCGUGGAACGCACUCUGCGCCUCUCUAAUACGUGUCCUCUCGUACCUGGUAGCCGCGGCAGCAGAAGCAUCACCGCGGACAGGCUCCGAGCGCCGGCAAUCCACGGAGCCGCUGCUGCCUUCGCUUGUGUCGUGUAUGGCAUCUGCAGCCACGUCAGUCGCCCUGCGUGCCGACCUCCGUCUCUUCCUCGCGGAGGUGGCAGAAGUGCGCGAUACUGUUCUCGAAGUUAAGCAGUACUGUCGCGUCGUAGACGCGCACCGCGACGACACGGAACGCGCCUUGAAGAGGCCUCGAGGCGAGUCUGCUGCAGCAGCAGUACGGCCGCCACCCGCGUCUGUCGCCGGGAAGGAACAGCCGAUGGCGAUGAGCAACAUGGCGCUACUAGCCCACCUCGCCGCAAUCGUGGAUGUGCAAGUGCGAAAAUAUCUCUGAUACACCCGUGUGGGUGCAUGUGUGUGUGGAGGGGGGUGGGGAAUAUCUUCACUGCGAUUGUGGUCGUCAUAGUCGCUAGAACGCAUCUUCUUCCCGGCCCUCCCCCACCUCCGCUUCGCUUUAUACUUCUCUCUCCUGCUGCGGCGGCUGGGUUUUCUGCUUUCCUCUGCUGCCUUUUUCUUUCGCGACUACUCCUAGCGACUGAUGUGGGCUUCGCUUCUCACGCUCUCCCCUCCGCAUCCGCGUCGAUGUUUCAGUUUCAUGUCGCCUCACGCACACCCCACUCCUUCCCCGCUGCAUCAUCCGUCGCUUGUUCUCCCACUCUGUCGGUAUGUGUGUGUGUGUGUGUGUGUGUGUGUGUGUGUGUGUGUGUGUGUGUGUGUGUGUGUGUGUGUUUGUGUGUUUGUGUGUACGUGUGUGAGAUGCAACGACAUCGACUCUGCUUCGCUCGUAACCUUCGCGCACCUGUCAAAACCGCCCAGCCCGCCUGUUAUCGGCAAUAUGCCCUUCUAUUCUCUCUUCACAAUGUGCCCCCGUCUCUGAUGACGGGAGAGGAGGGUGCCGCAGUGCGCGGUAUCUCUCGCAUACACACGCACACGGGCCAGCACCCCCCCCGCCCCUCUAUUCCCGGGCAAACGCCGCACCACUGCUGACGAGUGGCAGGGCCCAGGCACCCACGGCGUGGCGAGGUCAGAGGGAUGUAUUGCUGCUGAUGUCGGCGGCCAGACCCUGGAGGGCGCUGCGUCGGAGCGACCUGCGACGACGCACACGUUGGCGCCGUCCACAUCAUGGGCGGGGUGUCGGCGUGACUCAGGUGUAUGCCACCCCCAGCCCUGACUGCCCUGCUGGUGGGGUGGGGGGAAGCCCGAGGAGCAUGGAGUGGGCAGAGCUUGCGGCAGGGGCGCUGCUGCGGUGACGGAUUCGGCGCACUGCUGUACCGCGCGUGUCUGGCGGCUGCCUCGCACUGGAUGGCGGGGGCGUGUGACGGAUGCUGCACGGCCGCGGACUGGACGCGUUGGAAAGUACCUCACAUAUGGAAUGGGCUCUUGGAAACGAUGGGAGCGCAGCGGAGAGGUGCUGCGAGUCCAGCGGCCCCGGUGCAUGGGAAGAAGCACCUGGAAGAAGGUCGUUGCCGGGUCCGUCACCCCCUCUACACUCGUCGUGCAGGACUUCCCACGGGGUUGCAUAUCCAAACCCACCUCCGCGUUGUAGCGGUGCUCAUCUGGCCCCACGAUGAGGUGCCCUCCGCUGAGACAUCCUUUCCUCUCUCCCACCACGGUAAACGCCCAUCAUGGGGGAGCUCCUUCGCCUCUCUCUCUGCCUGCAGACGUGCCCUGUCUUAAGUCGUGAUGGGGUGCGCUUUUUCCCGGCUGCGACUCCGCCGCUGGAGCACGGGCCACCUGCGCAGCAGCCACAGUGAAAGAGCUGAGAGAGGGUGGCGGCCUCCCUAGCAAUGAGGGAAGGGGAGAGGGGCAAGCGAAGCAAACUCUAUGCACCCGUGCCCGCCUCAGUCGCUCUUCAGCGUCCUCCUCUCGUCCUCUUCUCUACACAUCUCGCCUUCACCCCUCCCGUCCUCUCUCCCGCUCCGACUCUCUGUGCCGUGCCUGUGUGCUCCUCUGCACGUCAG
Molecule: unclassified non-coding RNA, 3057 nt
Filed under: Leishmania donovani
Lineage: Eukaryota; Euglenozoa; Kinetoplastea; Trypanosomatida; Trypanosomatidae
Description: gene:LdHU3.16.1480(CDS-product:hypothetical_prote in_conserved)
Source: RNAcentral